ACUCCUGCGGGAGGCAGCAGUGGGGAAUUUUGGACAAUGGGCGAAAGCCUGAUCCAGCAAUGCCGCGUGAGUGAAGAAGGCCUUCGGGUUGUAAAGCUCUUUUGUCAGGGAAGAAACGGUGAGAGCUAAUAUCUCUUGCUAAUGACGGUACCUGAAGAAUAAGCACCGGCUAACUACGUGCCAGCAGCCGCGGUAAUACGUAGGGUGCAAGCGUUAAUCGGAAUUACUGGGCGUAAAGCGUGCGCAGGCGGUUUUGUAAGUCUGAUGUGAAAUCCCCGGGCUCAACCUGGGAAUUGCAUUGGAGACUGCAAGGCUAGAAUCUGGCAGAGGGGGGUAGAAUUCCACGUGUAGCAGUGAAAUGCGUAGAUAUGUGGAGGAACACCGAUGGCGAAGGCAGCCCCCUGGGUCAAGAUUGACGCUCAUGCACGAAAGCGUGGGGAGCAAACAGGAUUAGAAACCCGUGUAGUCCCAUGA
RNAcentral lists this ribosomal RNA (474 nucleotides) under uncultured organism. RNAcentral's name for it is "partial 16S ribosomal RNA". It matches the Rfam family "Bacterial small subunit ribosomal RNA", at positions 335 to 800 of the family's 1533-position model. The record is from RNAcentral.